Molecule: non-coding RNA, 119 nt
Organism: Acanthosepion pharaonis
Lineage: Eukaryota; Metazoa; Mollusca; Cephalopoda; Sepiida; Sepiidae
Source: the annotation of a GenBank genome assembly
UUACGGUCAAAUCACGCUGAAAACACCGGUUCUCGUUCGAUCACCGAAGUUAAGCAUCGUAGAGCCAGGUCAAUGAUACUUAGAUGGGGACCGCUUGGGAAAACACCUGGUACUGUAAG